GGAGAAGGCGCCUCAUGUCCUCACGGCGACCUUUCUCAAUGGGCCCCCUAUUGCCGCCAAGCCCGUUCUCUUGCGUUCACACUCCAGCUCGGUUCGAGACUUUUUGGGCUCUGUCUGGAAGAAGCCUCGGAGUUCAUUGCCUUGUUGCCGGAAUUCUAGAAUGCUUUGCCACGAGGAGCGCCGCCCGUGGUUCGCCAGUACCGGCCGUUAUUUUGCAGCGUUGGGCGGCCGAGUUCCCACAUUCAUCGGCAAUCUCCGAUUAGCAGCGGUGGAACACUCUGUUUCGUCAAGUGGGCUGCUUCACCGGUGUUUUACGUCCAUUCGCAAUUAGGAUUUAGGGUUUUCGACCUGAUAUAUUUUUGAAGCAGAAGAAUAAUAACCAGAUUUCAUAUGGAACUUGUUGUGACGUUUUUAGGUGUAAAAGUGGGAAAUGUCUCCACAAAAUGAAGUCUACUAACUUAUGGUUAAGUAAGUUUGUUAUUAGAUUUACAUCAAGUUAUGAUGUCUUAACUUUACUCGGUAUGACAUUUUAAGUUCCCAAAUGUUUCUUUAACAUUGAACAAAAAAGAAUACCAAAGAUAAGUUUCAUGCAUUUAAG
Molecule: non-coding RNA, 598 nt
Organism: Physcomitrium patens
Lineage: Eukaryota; Viridiplantae; Streptophyta; Bryopsida; Funariales; Funariaceae
Source: RefSeq, a predicted model, not a curated record